UACGUAGGUCCCGAGCGUUGUCCGGAUUUAUUGGGCGUAAAGCGAGCGCAGGUGGUUUAUUAAGUCUGGUGUAAAAGGCAAUGGCUCAACCAUUGUAUGCAUUGGAAACUAGUAGACUUGAGUGCAGGAGAGGAGAGUGGAAUUCCAUGUGUAGCGGUGAAAUGCGUAGAUAUAUGGAGGAACACCGGUGGCGAAAGCGGCUCUCUGGCCUGUAACUGACACUGAGGCUCGAAAGCGUGGGGAGCAAACAGG
This 252-nucleotide ribosomal RNA is filed under the name uncultured bacterium. RNAcentral describes it as "partial 16S ribosomal RNA". It matches the Rfam family "Bacterial small subunit ribosomal RNA", at positions 524 to 776 of the family's 1533-position model. The record is from RNAcentral.